CAGCCGCCGCGGUAAUACGUAGGUCCCGAGCGUUGUCCGGAUUUAUUGGGCGUAAAGCGAGCGCAGGCGGUUAGAUAAGUCUGAAGUUAAAGGCUGUGGCUUAACCAUAGUACGCUUUGGAAACUGUUUAACUUGAGUGCAAGAGGGGAGAGUGGAAUUCCAUGUGUAGCGGUGAAAUGCGUAGAUAUAUGGAGGAACACCGGUGGCGAAAGCGGCUCUCUGGUCUGUAACUGACGCUGAAGCUCGAAAGCGUGGGGAGCGAACAGGAUUAGAUACCCCCGUAGUCCCUGUCUCUUAUACA
Molecule: ribosomal RNA, 301 nt
Filed under: uncultured bacterium
Lineage: Bacteria
Description: partial 16S ribosomal RNA
Rfam family: Bacterial small subunit ribosomal RNA
Source: RNAcentral